GGAUAAACGCUGGCGGCGUGCUUAACACAUGCAAGUCGAACGAUGAUCCGGUGCUUGCACCGGGGAUUAGUGGCGAACGGGUGAGUAACACGUGAGUAACCUGCCCUUAACUCUGGGAUAAGCCUGGGAAACUGGGUCUAAUACCGGAUAUGACUCCUCAUCGCAUGGUGGGGGGUGGAAAGCUUUUUGUGGUUUUGGAUGGACUCGCGGCCUAUCAGCUUGUUGGUGAGGUAAUGGCUCACCAAGGCGACGACGGGUAGCCGGCCUGAGAGGGUGACCGGCCACACUGGGACUGAGACACGGCCCAGACUCCUACGGGAGGCAGCAGUGGGGAAUAUUGCACAAUGGGCGAAAGCCUGAUGCAGCGACGCCGCGUGAGGGAUGACGGCCUUCGGGUUGUAAACCUCUUUCAGUAGGGAAGAAGCGAAAGUGACGGUACCUGCAGAAGAAGCGCCGGCUAACUACGUGC
RNAcentral lists this ribosomal RNA (469 nucleotides) under Arthrobacter sp. SC23. Its description in RNAcentral is "bacterial SSU rRNA". It matches the Rfam family "Bacterial small subunit ribosomal RNA", at positions 27 to 508 of the family's 1533-position model. The record is from RNAcentral. Lineage: Bacteria; Bacillati; Actinomycetota; Actinomycetes; Micrococcales; Micrococcaceae.